Molecule: ribosomal RNA, 497 nt
Filed under: uncultured bacterium
Lineage: Bacteria
Description: partial 16S ribosomal RNA
Rfam family: Bacterial small subunit ribosomal RNA
Source: RNAcentral
GAUGAACGCUGGCGGCGUGCCUAAUACAUGCAAGUCGAGCGAACAGACGAGGAGCUUGCUCCUCUGACGUUAGCGGCGGACGGGUGAGUAACACGUGGAUAACCUACCUAUAAGACUGGGAUAACUUCGGGAAACCGGAGCUAAUACCGGAUAAUAUAUUGAACCGCAUGGUUCGAUAGUGAAAGACGGUUUUGCUGUCACUUAUAGAUGGAUCCGCGCCGCAUUAGCUAGUUGGUAAGGUAACGGCUUACCAAGGCAACGAUGCGUAGCCGACCUGAGAGGGUGAUCGCCCGCACUGGAACUGAGACACGGUCCAGACUCCUACGGGAGGCAGCAGUAGGGAAUCUUCCGCAAUGGGCGAAAGCCUGACGGAGCAACGCCGCGUGAGUGAUGAAGGUCUUCGGAUCGUAAAACUCUGUUAUUAGGGAAGAACAAAUGUGUAAGUAACUAUGCACGUCUUGACGGUACCUAAUCAGAAAGCCACGGCUAACUACGUG